GGGGGGGGGGUAUGUCCCUCGUCUUCCUCCCAGCCCUCCCAGGACCAAGGCCUCCGUUUGGAGGGUAAUUUAAUUACUGAGAGUUCUGGAUCGCCAGGCUGUUCAAGUCAGACCCAGAUUCUCAAGGUGUUUGUGAACCAGGUUGUUGCUUCGUGACUUUACAGAAAGGGACGAGUGGACAGAAACUGUCCCUCUGACCUCAUGUUGCGGGAGACGCACCGACGCUGUGAAUUCCCGCCAUUUUCCUCCUGGAGCUUGUCCUCUCGUGCUCUUCGUCAUUGGAAAUCAUCACUGUUUAGCUUGUAUUUUUACUGCAUGCAUUUGAAGUGAAAGGGGGAUAGUAAUACUGAAUUCAUAGUCAUGAAAAUAAAACCAUGCGUGUAAAUCAUUGGGCAGACAGAGUCUGGCAAACACAAGAAAUACUGUAAAACUAAUAUAACUUGGUUGUGCAUUUUAAUUGUUGACUUAACCAUUUACUAAACAACUUCCGUGCAGCAUGUCCACAUCCUUGCAAGUGUCAUUACUUGUACAAGAAGCCUUUCCCCCACUCCUUGCUUGACCAACUUCUGUUUGUUUUCGUUUUGCAGUUUUUGUGUCAGAAUGCCCCCCAGAAGCCCUCCCUAAAACCCGUCAAUCUCUGGCCUCCGAGUUAGGCCUGUUGCGCAUUCACAACUGGAAACGCACGGCUACAUGGUGGUAUCUAUCACUUGACUUUGGACUUUGAGAAUAGAGAAUGCUUAUUUUUAACCCUAAUCUGUUUGGCAAAAAAGCACAGAGAAAUGUUUGCUCAUAGAAAAAAAUGGAAUGGGCAUCAUGGAGCAGAAGGAUGGUGACACAAAGCAAUGAAGUAGGAUAUCCGGCAAUUCAGCUGUGACUGUCUGCUAACGGGUCUUCCUCCUUUCACUCUUUCCCGCUCACAGCCUGCAGCCAGUGCCUCAGCCACACAGCCCUUAGACCGCCACUUCUCUGUUCAAAAUUCUGAAGGCAUCCCUCCUCAGAGAGAAACCACAGCCUGGAGAGGCACCCGUUUUCUGGCCCCUGCUCAUGUCCGCAUUUGUGUGAACUGUCACCCUUGCCCUCACUCCAGUUCAGCCACUCGUGCCUCCCAGUUCCUCCUCAGCACGUCUGUUCCACCCACCUCUGCAUUUCCCAUUCUCUCGGCUGGAACUUUCCCCUCAGUCCCAUCUCUUGUUCCCCUACUUCACUAAGUGCUCUGUGGAAAUAUCACCUAACCACCCUAUUUAAGUUGUACUGACUUCCACUUUUUUUACUUAAGUCCCCCGUUCCAUAAAUGUGUGUGUUUUCUAUCUCACCCACCCCCAUUAGAAUAUGAGCUUGGUGAAAGCAGAGACUUGGUUUGCUGUGCCCCCUCCCCUCUCCCUGGGCACUUGGACAAGCCUAGCAUUGGAAAAAGGAAAGAUGGUACAAGGUGGUGAAGAAACAGUCAUUUGCAUGUACAGAAUCUAUGGUCGUCUAUGUAGAACACCCACAAGAAUAUACAAACAUAAAAACUGAUGAGAAUUCAGCAAGGUUGCUGGAUACAAAAAUCAACUUUAGCUAAAAACAGAAAAUGCAGUAACUACAAAUAUACUGUAUGAAAUAGAAUUUAAAAAGUACAUGUAGAGUCCCUAAGAAAUAUCAAUAAAAUAAGACAUUUAUGGAGAAAAUUAUAAAACUUUAUUGAAAGAAGUUAAAGAUCCUAAAUAAAUGGGUUCAUAGAUUGAAAGACUCAACAUCACAAUGUAUAAAUUCAGUACAAACCCAAUAAAAUUCCAACACUUUCUUGUUUGGUUUGAUUAACAACUUGUCAGUCUAGCUAAGCUUGGCCAAAUAGUCCUGAGGAAGAAAACUUUGGUGGAGGUGUAGGGGAUGGAAGUUGGAUUUGUCCUGAGAUAUCAAGGUCAGUUUCUAAACUUGUAGUACCCAGGCCUGUAGCACUGCCGGGGGUUAGGCAAAGUGCCUGCCUCAUGAGUCAGAAUAGAACCCCCCCCCCGCCACCCCAACUUGAUUUAUGAAACAGCCAGUGCUACAAAUCAGUGAGGGAUGGAUAAACUUUU
This is a long non-coding RNA of Phyllostomus discolor (pale spear-nosed bat), 2057 nucleotides long. RefSeq lists it as uncharacterized. The transcript is spliced from 2 exons. Lineage: Eukaryota; Metazoa; Chordata; Mammalia; Chiroptera; Phyllostomidae. The record is from RefSeq and is a predicted model, not a curated record.